Molecule: non-coding RNA, 60 nt
Submitted as: unclassified sequences
Source: Rfam
AAACGUUCACUUCGUCUCGACGAAGCGCAGACAAGCCAGGCCAUGGAACGGGGACCUGGA